RNAcentral lists this long non-coding RNA (1026 nucleotides) under Heterocephalus glaber (naked mole-rat). Its description in RNAcentral is "lncRNA (ENSHGLG00000049585.1)". Lineage: Eukaryota; Metazoa; Chordata; Mammalia; Rodentia; Bathyergidae. The record is from RNAcentral.
GUUUCAGCAGUCUCGGUCCAUGGCUGGCAGGUUCAAAUGCAGGAAUGGCACAGGGGAAGGGCCUUGACGCAGGGAAGCUGGGAGCCUCGCCGCAACCAGGAAGCAGAGUGAAGGGAGGACCUGGGGAGGCAGACACAUCCUGGCCACUGCUCUAGUGACCGCCUCUUCCAGCCAAGCUCCACCUCCUCACAGCAAGUCAGCGGCACAGCGACCCAGACAGGAGAGCUUUCCAGGCCACGGCGAAGGCUGACACAGUCCAGAGCUCCCCUUCCUAUUUCUCCCAGGAGCCUCACACACUCCCGGGGCACACUAAGCUCACAGAUCUCCAACAGGGCCUUCCUGACUGGUCCCCAACACACACACACACUUCAACCACAAAAAGGGGAAAGCUGGACAAAGCCAGGAAAGCCCCUCUCCAACAGAGCGGCUGAGGAAUUUGUUUCUUGAAGCAUCUCCCCAUGAUCACUCGCUGUAAAGGAAGAGAAAUCUGAAAAUCAUGGCUUUUCCCUGAUGAAUUCAGCAACAGCUCAUUGUCGGGGGGGGGGUGCGCAAAAGUCAGUGAGUUGGCUGGAAACCAUGACUGCUCAGUAACAGCCGGCCCACGCCCGACCCACACACUGGGGAAGCCCUGUGCUUACCAGCAGCAUACAAAGGACUGGCUUCCUCGAAAAAAGGAAAAGGAAAAAGUAGCCAGCAUAUUUUCAGGGAAUGGAGAAGGAAGAGGUAAAGCAGAGACCAGAGCUAUCUGGACUGCAGACUGGCUGGCUUUCCCGGGCGCACAGAGCUAUCAGGAAAGGAAGUGAAGAAGUGACCCUGCAGCUGCUGAAGUGGGGAGGGCACUGGCCACGAGGGCUGGCUCUGUCUGUGCUCCUCAAAGUCGGAAAUGAGAAAUCAGGAGGUUUGCUAUGGAAGCAGGUUUCUCUCGGUGUUCAUUUCUGUUUGCUUUUUGGGGUGCUGGGGGUGCGCCCCAGGCCCCAGCAUCUGCCCAAGCCACAUGCCACGCAGGCUCCUCCUUCCAGGUCUGGG